AUGCGCCGGACGACCACCCAGCGCUGGGGGCCGCGCCACCGCACCGACCAGGCGCCAGGCUCCGGCGCCGUCGCGGUCGACCGCCUCAGCGCCCUCCCGGACGCGCUCCUGCACCACAUCAUGUCGUUCCUCAAGGCGUGGGAGGCGGUGCCCACCUGCGUGCUCGCGCGCCGGUGGCGCCACCUUUGGGAGUCCGCGCCCUGCGUCGACCUCCGCUUGCGCUACAUGAGCCGCGACGGCGACCCUCCGCAAGAGUUUUGCGACUUCGUGCACCGCCUCUUCCUCCUCCGCGAUGUGUCGGCGCCGGUGGACACGCUCCGCCUGCAGCCCAGCGACGAGGACGCCGGCUUCAACGAGGAGGACGCUAGCAUCUGGAUCAGGACUGCUCUCAAGCGCAAGGCGCGGGUUAUUCAUCUUGCUAGGCAUCACAAGAGAGCCGCGUCGUUGGACGGUGUGCCCUUUGUUUCGUGCCACCUCAAGAUCUUGAAGUUGUCCUACGCCAGGCUCGAUGACAGUAUCCUCCGACAGCUUUCUGCUAGUUGCAAAUCCUUGGAAGAACUGGAUCUCAAGGAUUUCUUGGUGACAGGCCCUGGGAUUGUGUCCGCCUCUUUGAAGACCUUAAUCAUGCUUAAGUGCAAGUUCAAUUCGGCCUUCUCCAUUGCAGCUCCCAACCUCGUACUUCUGUGCCUCAUCACACCUUAUGUCCAAGUUCCGUCAUUUACCGACUUUGGGUCACUGGUCACAGCCACUAUCUUACUUGAUGACCAUUUCUUGAGCAAUGAAUUUGAACACAUCAGCGAUAAAGAUGACUGUGAUGAAACUACUGAUGACGACGACAAUGAUGAUAAGAGGAGCUAUAGGAUUCAUGAUGCCUCUUCCUUGAGUGAUGAUGAUGAUGCUUUUGACAAGUUUGGAUAUGGAUAUGGUUUUCCUGAAGAAAGAUAUGGGCACAGUCGUUACAAGGAUAAUUAUAAUUAUGGUAGCGAUAUUGAUAGUGAUGACAAUACCUAUGAAUACGGUGAGAUCGCAAAUGAUGCAAAGUAUGGCUAUAAAGGUAAAGGGAAGCUUUCCAGUGAAGAUGGUAACUAUGGAAAAAUCAGUGGUGGAAAUUAUACUAGUAAUAAUAUUCUAGGUGGCCAUCAUAUGCUUGAGAGCCUUUCCACAGCUACGAGUUUGGAGUUGUUAACUGAUGCUGGAGAGGUAUAG
Molecule: ribosomal RNA, 1206 nt
Filed under: Triticum aestivum (bread wheat)
Lineage: Eukaryota; Viridiplantae; Streptophyta; Magnoliopsida; Poales; Poaceae
Description: partial small subunit ribosomal RNA
Source: RNAcentral